RNAcentral lists this ribosomal RNA (435 nucleotides) under uncultured Lachnospiraceae bacterium. Its description in RNAcentral is "bacterial SSU rRNA". It matches the Rfam family "Bacterial small subunit ribosomal RNA", at positions 341 to 792 of the family's 1533-position model. Lineage: Bacteria; Bacillati; Bacillota; Clostridia; Lachnospirales; Lachnospiraceae. The record is from RNAcentral.
ACGGAAGGCAGCAGUGGGGAAUAUUGGACAAUGGGGGAAACCCUGAUCCAGCGACGCCGCGUGAGUGAAGAAGUAUUUCGGUAUGUAAAGCUCUAUCAGCAGGGAAGAAAAAAUGACGGUACCUGACUAAGAAGCCCCGGCUAACUACGUGCCAGCAGCCGCGGUAAUACGUAUGGAGCAAGCGUUAUCCGGAUUUACUGGGUGUAAAGGGAGCGUAGACGGCAAAGCAAGUCUGAAGUGAAAUCCCGGGGCUCAACCCCGGAACUGCUUUGGAAACUGUUUAGCUAGAGUGCAGGAGAGGUAAGCGGAAUUCCUAGUGUAGCGGUGAAAUGCGUAGAUAUUAGGAGGAACACCAGUGGCGAAGGCGGCUUACUGGACUGUAACUGACGUUGAGGCUCGAAAGCGUGGGGAGCGAACAGGAUAGAUACCCUGGUA